RNAcentral lists this microRNA (22 nucleotides) under Pristionchus pacificus. RNAcentral's name for it is "ppc-miR-2238g-5p". Lineage: Eukaryota; Metazoa; Nematoda; Chromadorea; Rhabditida; Neodiplogasteridae. The record is from miRBase by way of RNAcentral.
CCGUUCACUCUUCUCGUCAGUC